This is a non-coding RNA of Paramuricea clavata, 120 nucleotides long. Lineage: Eukaryota; Metazoa; Cnidaria; Anthozoa; Malacalcyonacea; Plexauridae. The record is from the annotation of a GenBank genome assembly.
AACGUUGUUCUAGCAAGUCGGAUACACUCAUGAUAUAACAAGGAUGUUACAAGGUUAACGACACAAGGUUGUAACAAUAUUGAUAUAUCAUGACUGUAUUGGACUUGUUGGAACAACCUU